Molecule: ribosomal RNA, 479 nt
Filed under: uncultured bacterium
Lineage: Bacteria
Description: partial 16S ribosomal RNA
Rfam family: Bacterial small subunit ribosomal RNA
Source: RNAcentral
ACUCAAAUGAAUUGACGGGGGCCCGCACAAGCGGCGGAGCGUGCGGUUUAAUUCGAAGCGACGCGAAGAACCUUACCAGGGUUUGACAUGUCCCUGCAGGACCGGGAAACCGGGAGGCCUUCGAGGGUGGGACACAGGUGCUGCAUGGCUGUCGUCAGCUCGUGCCGUGAGGUGUUGGGUUAAGUCCCGCAACGAGCGCAACCCCCGUGGCUAGUUACGAUGUCUAGCCAGACAGCCCCGCAAGGGGAGGAAGGAGGGGAUGACGUCAAGUCAGCAUGGCCCUUACAUCCUGGGCGACACGCACGCUACAAUGGCCGGGACAGAGGGCAGCCAAGCCGUGAGGUGGAGCGAAUCCCAGAAACCCGGUCCCAGUUCAGAUUGUGGGCUGCAACCCGCCCACAUGAAGGUGGAGUCGCUAGUAACCGCAGGUCAGCAGUACUGCGGUGAAUAUGUUCCCGGGCCUUGUACACACCGCCCGU